RNAcentral lists this long non-coding RNA (776 nucleotides) under Ananas comosus (pineapple). RNAcentral's name for it is "long non-coding RNA (ACOM_LNC011468)". The record is from RNAcentral. Lineage: Eukaryota; Viridiplantae; Streptophyta; Magnoliopsida; Poales; Bromeliaceae.
UUUUUUUUUGACAACAUCCCUUUAAAAGUUUCUAAUUUAUUAUAUAACUCUUUCAAAUUUUUAUUAGGUGAACUAAUCUGAGCAACACGGUGAAUCGUUUACCGUCUUUAAAAAGUGAUGAGUCGUUUUUGCAUUGUUACUAUUUUUUUAUAAGUUGUAAGAAAUUUUAUUAGAUUGUUAAAAUUAUAUGGAGAUUAUUAGAUUUUUUUUAUUGUUAAAAUUAUAUGAAUAGAUUGUUAGGAUACAUUAGGUUGUUAGGAUUAUAUGUGAUUUGUUAAAAUUUUUAUAGAAUUAUUCAGAUUAUAUAUGAAAAAUAAAAAAAAUCUAAUAAUCUCCAUAUAAUUUUAACAAUCUAAUAAAAUUUCUUACAACUUAUAAAAAAAUAGUAACAAUGCAAAAACGACUCANAUAUGAAUAGAUUGUUAGGAUACAUUAGGUUGUUAGGAUUAUAUGUGAUUUGUUAAAAUUUUUAUAGAAUUAUUCAGAUUAUAUAUGAAAAAUAAAAAUAAACGAUAAAUUAUUUACUACUUUCUCCUUUAAGAAAAUGACGAUGAAUAAUUUACCAUCUUUAGAAAAUAAGAAAUGGAUGGUAAAUUAUUCACGUCUUCUAAAUUUCAUCAAAGACGAUAAAUAAUUGACGCUCUUUUAAUUAUUUUUUUAACCCUAUAUUUGAGUUAAAUAAAAUAAAAUUAUUUGGCCAAAUAAAUUUUUUUAAAAGACUAUUUGACUAAUUAUAGAUUUUUAAAAGAUUAAAAUAAAAAAACAGUCCUGCAGUU